RNAcentral lists this unclassified non-coding RNA (387 nucleotides) under uncultured bacterium. RNAcentral's name for it is "contains 16S-23S intergenic spacer region". The record is from RNAcentral.
UCCCCGUUUUCCGGGGCAGUCUCUGUAGAGUUCCCGGCAUGACCCGUUGGCAACUACAGACGAGGGUUGCGCUCGUUGCGGGACUUAACCCAACAUCUCACGACACGAGCUGACGACAGCCACGCAGCACCUGUACAGGAGUCCCGAAGGAGGGCCGAGGUUUCCCCCAUCUCUGGAGCGGUCCUCCGUUGUCUAGCCCAGGUAAGGUUCUUCGCGUUGCGUCGAAUUGAACCACAUGCUCCACCGCUUGUGCGGGCCCCCGUCAAUUCCUUUGAGUUUUAGCCUUGCGGCCGUACUCCCCAGGCGGGGUGCUUAAUGCGUUAGCUUCGGCACGGGGGGAGUCGACACCCCCCACACCUAGCACCCAUCGUUUACGGCGUGGACUAC